This 2909-nucleotide long non-coding RNA is filed under the name Sus scrofa (pig). Its description in RNAcentral is "lncRNA (ENSSSCG00015018317.1)". The record is from RNAcentral. Lineage: Eukaryota; Metazoa; Chordata; Mammalia; Artiodactyla; Suidae.
CUGGACCCUCCUCCUCAAGCCUAGUGCUGGCGUGAAACGAGUAGGUGGGAAUAAAGUCAUCUGGACAUUUGUGAACGGGUAGGGGGAAAAGAGAAGGAAAGGUGGACACUCCUGGCAGGACCUGCGGUCGGGAGAGGGUGGGCUCACCUCGGGCGUGGAGCUGACUUCGUGCACCUGGCCGAUGAGCUUACAGUAGGACUGAAAAAGCAGCAGCAGCUGGAAGUGUAGCUUGUACAACCUCUGACACAGUUCCAGUUGCUAAAGAGAGAAUUUGCAGGCGGAGAAAUCGUUAUGAAGGAUCAUGCUUUAUGUAAUCAAUGAAAUCUUGGUGGAGUCUAACAUAUGUAUAUUUUUUUUAAAUCAAGGAAACAGAACUAGCUGUCACCAUUCUAAAUAAAACAACAAGAACCAAUAACUCUAUCAGACAUUCACGGUAUAGUAUAGAAUAAAACAGUUCCUGGAAGGUGACUAACUAGAAGUCGCUAUGAAGGGACUGGGUGAACUGCCAAAUUUCCAUUGUAUUUGCUACACAUCUUAAUUUUUAUAUGCUCUAUGUUUUUAAAAACUGUUUAUUUGAAAGGGACAACAUUAAGAGAUUCUAGGUAUUAAGUUUAAACAUUCAGCAGACACGUGGGAGGUUAUUCCUGUGCCCAUUCUGGCUGCCACUUAGGGUGCAGGCACUCCUCCUAAAGUCUUAAACACACGCGUUACGUGAUCCUCUAAGGUGCUGCCUCAGUUUUACUGCCGAUGUGUCUACUCAGGGCCCAAUAAAUAUUUGUUGAACUAAAGAGAUAUAAAAAGGGCCCAAAGAACUUAGAGCAAGGAGAAAUUAUGAAACCAUGCAACACUUUCUGUGGAAAGAACGUUAAAAAGUAUUCAUACAAAAUGGCCUUUGAGCCCUAGAGAUACCUCUGGAAUAUAAAGUGAUUUCAUUAAACAGCUCUGUGUACUACAAAGUGAGAAUAAAUCAUGAGUAUUUCUAAUACCAAUGAUUCUACUGCUCCCAGGUAUAUCUGCUUAUCUGCCUCUAAAAUUUGCCUGUUUUUUAAUCCCAAGGAUGGGUUAGCUGCUACGUAGUGGGUGGGAUUCUGCAACAAGAAAAGGACCUAAUCACGUCACUGUUUCAAAUGUGGUCGGGUAAGGAGAGAUAGGGCCUUUUACGAACUCAGCUCACAACUGAGAGCUGUCGAGGGGACUUCAGAUCAGUCUAAGGAGAGAAAUGAUAAGAAUUUGCAUUUAGGUUUUAAGAAGAAUAUUCCAUGAAUGGUAUUAAAUACUUUGAUCCUACUUUUUAGAAGUGACCAAAGUUCAUGCUAAGACCAUGCUGGAGGAAUUUCUCUUUCUUCUCUCCCUUUGCCCUGGCCCCCAGGGGGGAAAAACAAUUCUGAGAUUUUAUUUCUCAGUGCUGGUAACCAGCCUAAGAUCGAGGAAGUAGCUAGACUCACUUGUUAACCCAAACUAGAUCUUUGGUUGUUUUAGUAAAACAUGUUAUGACCAUUUAAGCUUUUCUUUAUGGAACCCUUUCAAAAUCUGGCAUAAAGGAUAACUACCAGAGACUCGCAGACAAAAGAACAAAAGAGUAUUAUUUCAAACCAAAAUGUUAUCGUUCACAAUUGAGAGUGAAACCUAGCCAUGAAAACUCUGACUUUCCUAAGUGUCAGAUAAUCCUAAUUAUUAACUAAAAUAGUCUGCUAAUAAAUAACAUGAGCAUUCAUAGCAACUUAGGUUUCUACUUUGGGAGGGAAGCAGCCCAGAAUGCUAAUACAUUACAUGUCUCAGUCUACCAAAUAAAAGACAAUGAAACAAAAUAGGGAAAACAUGCUAAGAGAUACAACAGUCCCAGUAAACAAAUAAGAUCUGUUAUGGGUCCAUGCCUCAAUGGACCAAGAGUAGGAAAGAAAGUUAACUUACUGCAAGAGAUUCCAUUUGCUACACAGCAAGCAGGGCACGGGAAACGGAGGAAGGAAAGAAAGUACAGGGUCAGUGUGGUGCAUGCGACAGGAAGCGCGGCCCUCCAAGAGCAGAACCGCAGGAUGAGCAUCGCCUGCCCCCACGGCACAAGCGGGCGCACGUGUACCCCCCUCAGCAUGCACAGCGGGCCAGUUAAACACAAGCUCUCGGGGGGAACCCGUCACCGACAAACAGCAUUCGAGGUCUUUUAGAUUCUCUGAUGAGUGGGUUUAGGUUUUGUCCAUCUUGGAGACCAGAAGCGAAAACUUGUACUGCUUGAAGAUUUUAGCGUUUAAACGUGAAUCACGUGUGAGCACAGGGACACGAUGAGACCAGCGGAUCAAUGUGAUAGAACUACAGCCCCCAACAGAUUCGGCUAUUGCUAAAUGUUACAGCAGAAUUUUUACUACGUCUGGUUUCAUACCUACGAAACUAUGUCCCAUUAGCUUAGAAUGUAAUUAACAAUCUGAGUGGCAUUUUCUUUAAAGUCAGAUUGCCUUCUGCGUCGAGAUGAUUUUAUAGGACUGCUAGAUAGUGUCCUUUCAAAGGAGUAAACGCUGUCUUUAUGCUCAAACAAGCAUGAGAUAAAAAAAGGAAUUGCUUGCACUUUAUUUUUUAUAAUCUACCCCCUGCAGCAGACAAUUACUAAAAAUAAUCUAGAACUGACGGUUACUCUAGAAGAAUAUACAGUUUGUAACUGGGCCAUGUUUAAUACUGGCUACCAUUUUUUGGUGUCACCACAUUACAACCAUGGACUUAGUUUCAGGAGAGUCUGGGUAUGUGCAAAGAGAUUACCACAACCUGACAGAAUAUUAAGAAACAUCAACUUAUCCAUUCCUAAUUAUGGGUCAAUAUGUCUGGUUCUGGAUUUUCAAAAUAUUUAAAGACCUAACUCCAUUUCUAAUUCUUCACAACACAAGUUCCUUGUUUUCAAGCUCUUUCCAAAAAAAGUCUAGAUU